AGAGUUUGAUCCUGGCUCAGAAUCAACGCUGGCGGCGUGCCUAACACAUGCAAGUCGAACGCGAAAGUGGAGCAAUCCAUGAGUAGAGUGGCAAACGGGUGAGUAACGCGUGGGCGACCUACCUUCGAGUGGGGGAUAACAUUCCGAAAGGAGUGCUAAUACCGCAUAACAUCCCGUGUUUAGAUACACGGCGAUCAAAGCCGGGCCGUAAGGUCUGGCGCUUAGAGAGGGGCCCGCGUCCGAUUAGCUAGUUGGUGGGGUAACGGCUCACCAAGGCUCCGAUCGGUAUCCGGCCUGAGAGGGCGGACGGACACACUGGAACUGAGACACGGUCCAGACUCCUACGGGAGGCAGCAGUGGGGAAUUGUUCGCAAUGGGCGCAAGCCUGACGACGCAACGCCGCGUGGAGGAUGAAGACCUUCGGGUCGUAAACUCCUUUCGACCGAGAAGAAUGGCUCCCGACCUCAUACGUCGGGAGCAUGACGGUACCGAGGAGA
RNAcentral lists this ribosomal RNA (497 nucleotides) under uncultured bacterium. Its description in RNAcentral is "bacterial SSU rRNA". It matches the Rfam family "Bacterial small subunit ribosomal RNA", at positions 8 to 488 of the family's 1533-position model. The record is from RNAcentral.